CCUACGGGUGGCAGCAGUGAGGAAUAUUGGUCAAUGGACGUAAGUCUGAACCAGCCAUGCCGCGUGAGGGAUGACGGCUCUAUGAGUUGUAAACUGCUUUUAUACAAGAGUAAAGCUUAGUACGUGUAUUAAGCUGAAUGUACUUUACGAAUAAGGAUCGGCUAACUCCGUGCCAGCAGCCGCGGUAAUACGGAGGAUCCGAGCGUUAUCCGGAUUUAUUGGGUUUAAAGGGUGCGUAGGCGGAUUGAUAAGUUAGAGGUGAAAUGUCCGAGCUUAACCCGGGAACUGCCUCUAAUACUGUUGAGCUUGAGUGUAGAUGCGGUAGGCGGAAUGUAUGGUGUAGCGGUGAAAUGCUUAGAGAUCAUACAGAACCCCGAUUGCGAAGGCAGCCUGCCAAGCUAUAUCUGACGUUGAGGCACGAAAGCGUGGGGAGCAAACAGGAUUAGAUACCCGGGUAGUC
RNAcentral lists this ribosomal RNA (460 nucleotides) under uncultured bacterium. RNAcentral describes it as "partial 16S ribosomal RNA". It matches the Rfam family "Bacterial small subunit ribosomal RNA", at positions 338 to 795 of the family's 1533-position model. The record is from RNAcentral.